This 662-nucleotide non-coding RNA is filed under the name Pan troglodytes (chimpanzee). Lineage: Eukaryota; Metazoa; Chordata; Mammalia; Primates; Hominidae. The record is from RNAcentral.
UUUUUUUGUCGGGAAAGGGCUUCCCCGUGUAACUUUACAGCAGUUAUCGUAGAUAAGACUUGCAAAUUACAGAUGUGGACGGUGAGGGAACGGGAAUUUCACUGAAAGCGCCUGAGAACCAGUAAGAGACCUGCAACAGCUUUGUGCUCCACAGGCGAAUGCUUCCUCCCCUAAUACACAUUAUGUGUGCUUGGAGACACAAGGAGUAAGAUACAGCCCCUCAAGGGACUCGUCAUAGGGAGAGGACACAGCUUUGGGAAUAAAGGGGCCACAAAGGAGGAGAGAGGAGUUUGCUGAAACUUCCCAAGCUCCCAUUCCAGCAAUUCCUGAAGGGUUUCCCCUCUCUUCUAGGCUGGACAAUGGAGGAGGCUUGAAACAGUAGCUGGCAAGUGGUAGAAGAGAUGGAGCAGAGAAGCAAGAAGAAGCAGACUCCUCACUCCUUCACCAGGGUGGAUUUGCUGGUUUGAAGCAGACCUGAGUUGGGAGAGGAGAGAGGCGAGAAGUUUUAAUUGGAUGAAAUAUUUCUUUAGACUGGUCUAUACUUUUUUCUUUAUAUCUAAAAUUCACUGGAAGAGCUAUGAAAUCUGUCCAAGAUUUCGUUCAGUUCAGGAAAAACCAAAACCAAAACCAAAACCACCAGGUAUUACACAUGUGACUCAGAC